Molecule: ribosomal RNA, 239 nt
Filed under: uncultured Lactobacillus sp.
Lineage: Bacteria; Bacillati; Bacillota; Bacilli; Lactobacillales; Lactobacillaceae
Description: partial 16S ribosomal RNA
Rfam family: Bacterial small subunit ribosomal RNA
Source: RNAcentral
CCGUAGCCCAAGAGAUCGGGAUAACACCUGGAAACAGAUGCUAAUACCGGAUAACAACAGAUGAUGCCUAUCAACUGUUUAAAAGAUGGUUCUGCUAUCACUCUUGGAUGGACCUGCGGUGCAUUAGCUAGUUGGUAGGGUAACGGCCUACCAAGGCGAUGAUGCAUAGCCGAGUUGAGAGACUGAUCGGCCACAUUGGGACUGAGACACGGCCCAAACUCCUACGAGAGGCAGCAGGG